CACACACGCACUCUCUCUAACCCCUUCCACCCUUCACACCUGUAGUCCUCAGGUUUGGGGCAGCUUCCUUGGACCCUGAUUUCUUGAAAAUUGGAUAAAAUGGUUCCAACAGGGGAAAUAAAGGUCCUGCCUCCAUCUUGAGUUCUACUUGGAAUAUGAAGCCCCGUCUGCAGAGGCGAGGCGGUGGGAUUUCUUGCUUCCAGCCUGGCAAAGAAGCUGCCAUUGAUUGGGGAGGGAGGGGAAUAAACCCAUCUUCCCUCUCAACAAGAACGACUAUUUCAUGAAGAUCUGGAUGACUUUGACGGGGCCUUGGCCAUUUAUUUGGCCCCAGUGUGGGGCUGUGCUAUUUCACCGAUCUCCAUGGAGUUGAUGCAGGUAUUUACCAAGAUGCCUCUACGAGUCACACACAAGGGACACCAAGGUGGACAAGACACAGUCCCUCUCCUCAGGGAGUUGAUAAGGCCAUGGGAACAUAGACAAGUAAACAGGUGAUAAAGGCCAUUAUAUAAUGGAGUAUACUGCAGAUCUUAAAAACACAAGUUGCAAAGGGUACCUUUGCUUUAAGAUAAAUGCAGGAUAAAAAUUGUAUAUACUGCUCUAUGUAAAAACAUUUAAAUAAAAAUAUAAAUAU
RNAcentral lists this long non-coding RNA (631 nucleotides) under Sus scrofa (pig). Its description in RNAcentral is "lncRNA (ENSSSCG00000044722.2)". The record is from RNAcentral. Lineage: Eukaryota; Metazoa; Chordata; Mammalia; Artiodactyla; Suidae.